CAGAAUUGUUCUCUAUCAAUUUUCUAAUUGACAAACACAAAUCACCUGGCCGUUCACAUGCAUGCACGUGCUAACUUAAUCAUGCACUUUCCGAAAAGUGAUCGUCUGCUGAAAACUGAUGUUUGUAAGGCUUAAUUAUGACUAAUAUCUUUGUUUAUAUUUGGAAAAGGGCUCUAUAGGCUGGUUAACAUGACUCACUACCGACUUAGAUAUAAAAUGAAGAGAAUUUUACAAUUAUCCUCAUGACUGCAUUGUUUUACUUGCUGUACUGAUAGGCCUAUCAACCAAAUCAGUCCUUUUUCUGUUAAAAUACUUCUAAAUGGCCAAUAAAACAAAUGAAAGUAAGUAUUUCACUUACCAGAAAAUGAUUGAAGCCUUUUCUUAUUGACUGAAAGGUUAUUUCUGCCCAGAAAUUAGUUGAUUUCAUUUAGAAGAGCUAUAUUUAUAUACAGUUAUUAGCUCACCUAGUAAUUUUUACCUCUUAAAAUACCUUUAAAUGGCCAAUACAACACAUAAAAUGCAGUAGCCUAUUUCACAAAGCAGAAAGUGGUUGAAGAGACUUGGCAAUAUAGCUCCAGCAGACAGAUGUCAGUUUUUGGUGGAUGAUCAGUUUUCGGCAUGACAGUGAAUGCCAGUACAUAAAGGCAAUGUCUAGGGUUGAUACCAGCAGGUAAAUUGUCACAUAUCACUCCAAUAAUAGUAAGCGUCCUGUGCAUGUAAAGUGCUAAACUUUGACCAGAAGCAGUGUCCUGUUAUACUCCAGUGUCUAAUGUUAAGAUAACAUAAAUAAUUUUAAGUGUAAGAUUUAUGGGGCUAUUGGUCUAAAACUGCACUGUUUUUUUAUUGUAGGAUUUCCAAUGGCCACACGAAGAAGAAAACCACCAACACAGGAUGCCAUAGAACAUGCUGUGAAGGCCCUUGACAAGACAACAGAGUUAGAAGUGCGAUACAUUAACUCUUUUAAAGGUCGAGGGGUGUUUGCCAAGUCCCAUUUCAGAAAAGGAGACUUUGUGGUGGAAUACAGAGGAGAAUUGAUCAAUUCUGAAGAAUCUCAGAGGAGGAGGAGAACAUAUCACAAUAGAUGUGGUGUUUUCAUGUUUGACUUCUACUGGAAAGAAAAAACAUGGUGUAUUGAUGCAGCUAGAGAGGAUUCCAGUUUUGGGCGUCUGGUUAAUGAUUGCCACAAGAAUCCGAACUGCAAAAUGAAGAGGGUCAUAACAGAGGGAAAACCACACCUCUGCCUAUUUGCUUUAAAGGACAUUACUGAAGGAGAAGAGAUAACUUAUGACUAUGGUGGAAUUGAUUGGCCUUGGAGGAAACAGGACAAACCAUUGGAUGCCACUGAGUCUUCUGAGGCUGACCUCUUCAGAACAACAGAGCAGACUCCUCUGAGAUCAUCCAGCUUCAAGACACAGGACAAACCAUUGGAUGCCACUGAGUCUUCUGAGGCUGACCUCUUCAGAACAACAGAGCAGACUCCUCCGAGAUCAUCCAGCUUCAAGACACAGGACAAACCAUUGGAUGCCACUGAGUCUUCUGAGGCUGACCUCUUCAGAGCAACAGAGCAGACUCCUCCGAGAUCAUCCAGCUUCAAGACACAGGACAAACCAUUGGAUGCCACUGAGUCUUCUGAGGCUGACCUCUUCAGAACAACAGAGCAGACUCCUCCGAGAUCAUCCAGCUUCAAGACACAGGACAAACCAUUGGAUGCCACUGAGUCUUCUGAGGCUGACCUCUUCAGAGCAACAGAGCAGACUCCUCCGAGAUCAUCCAGCUUCAAGACACCGGUACUAGUCGGUCUCUUUUACUGUCUUUCACUGGUUCCUCCUUUAGGUUCGAACCUUCUACUUUUUAGUUUCGAGGCGUCUUCUUAAUUGUUAACUUCUUCAUGGAAGUACAUUUUUAGAUGUGUAUACAUCAAUGUAUAUCCUUAGUCCAAUAUAAACUUCUGAGCACAUUCUGGUUUUUGUGGUUUCAUGGGGACCAGUCAGUAGGACCAGUGUUUAGUGGCGAUCACUCCUUGUGAUACACACACUUGUCAGGUCUCUUGUCAUUGUGGGGUCCACGCUAACUAAAAAUUAAUGUAGACAUUGGAACACUUCAUUGACUCUUUUCUGUCUAGAAGUCUAAACGUAUACAUUCUACAUCAUGUGUCAUUGAACUUUAGAUGAGUUUGCUUUCUCCAAGUCAUACUAGCUCUUGGCUACAGCUGAAUUCAGUCAUGCCACACUUCAUUUUUACUACUUCCUCGACUGUGACGGUUAGAGCUGUCUUAUAGCAGGCAACAUAGAUAUGACAGAAAUCACAGCCAACUUAAACCCAUCAAAAGUAACUUGGAUUUAGCCUCAGAUACAGGAAACAUGUAAACAUUGCCACCACAUGCAUGUCUCCUGUGUCUCACAUGUGUUAAUGUUGUUUCCACUGAAUUAAUGCUACUGCUGACCAUCUAUUCAAUAAUAAUGUUAACUCAUUCUUCAGGACAAACCAUUGGAUGCCACUGAGUCUUCUGAGGCUGACCUCUUCAGAGCAACAGAGCAGACUCCUCCGAGAUCAUCCAGCUUCAAGACACAGGACAAACCAUUGGAUGCCACUGAGUCUUCUGAGGCUGACCUCUUCAGAACAACAGAGCAGACUCCUCCGAGAUCAUCCAGCUUCAAGACACAGG
Pimephales promelas (fathead minnow) is the source of this 2665-nucleotide non-coding RNA. The record is from RefSeq and is a predicted model, not a curated record. NCBI's taxonomy places the organism in Eukaryota, Metazoa, Chordata, Actinopteri, Cypriniformes, Leuciscidae.